This 443-nucleotide ribosomal RNA is filed under the name uncultured bacterium. RNAcentral's name for it is "partial 16S ribosomal RNA". It matches the Rfam family "Bacterial small subunit ribosomal RNA", at positions 338 to 795 of the family's 1533-position model. The record is from RNAcentral.
CCUACGGGAGGCAGCAGUGGGGGAUAUUGGGCAAUGGGGGAAACCCUGAUCCAGCGACGCCGCGUGAGUGAAGAAGUAUUUCGGUAUGUAAAGCUCUAUCAGCAGGGAAGAAAGAAAUGACGGUACCUGAGUAAGAAGCCGCGGCUAACUACGUGCCAGCAGCCGCGGUAAUACGUAGGGGGCAAGCGUUAUACGGAAUUACUGGGUGUAAAGGGAGCGGAGAUGGUAAGGCAAGUCUGGAGUGAAAGGCGGGCGCUCACCCUCCGGACUGCUCUGGAAACUGGGUAACUGGAGUGCAUGAGAGGCAGGCGGAAUUCCUAGUGUAGCGGUGAAAUGCGUAGAUAUUAGGAGGAACACCAGUGGCGAAGGCGGCCUGCUGGACUGUAACUGACGUUGAGGCUCGAAAGCGUGGGGAGCAAACGGGAUUAGAUACCCCAGUAGUC